UAGGACGGUAGUUGGUGGAGGAAUCCUGAAGGUGCUACGCGGCGAUAGGAUUGUACUGGAGAGAAAGAAGGGGAGCAGAGGACAUAAUUACCUAGCAGGGAGCUCAGUACGAGGUGGAGCUUCGGGAAUCAGGUGAAGCCCAUAGUGAGGUGGAGCUUCAGAUGGAGGUGGAUCGGGCACGAGACAGGAGACUCGGAAUGAGGAGAGACGACAUCGCAAGAUGAGAUUUCUAUUGCCGUAGGAUAAUACCCCGAGUAGAUCUCAGGU
RNAcentral lists this long non-coding RNA (267 nucleotides) under Elaeis guineensis (African oil palm). RNAcentral describes it as "long non-coding RNA (EGUI_LNC006051)". Lineage: Eukaryota; Viridiplantae; Streptophyta; Magnoliopsida; Arecales; Arecaceae. The record is from RNAcentral.